UGUCGUCAGCUCGUGUUGUGAAAUGUUGGGUUAAGUCCCGCAACGAGCGCAACCCUUAUCCUUUGUUGCCAGCACGUGAUGGUGGGAACUCAAAGGAGACUGCCGGUGAUAAACCGGAGGAAGGUGGGGAUGACGUCAAGUCAUCAUGGCCCUUACGAGUAGGGCUACACACGUGCUACAAUGGCAGAUACAAAGUGAAGCGAACUCGCGAGAGCAAGCGGACCACAUAAAGUCUGUCGUAGUCCGGAUUGGAGUCUGCAACUCGACUCCAUGAAGUCGGAAUCGCUAGUAAUCGUAGAUCAGAAUGCUACGGUGAAUACGUUCCCGGGCCUUGUACACACCGCCCGUCACACCAUGGGAGUGGGUUGCAAAAGAAGUAGGUAGCUUAACCUUCGGGAGGGCGCUUACCACUUUGUGAUUCAUGACUGGGGUGAAGUCGUAACAAGGUAACCGUAGGGGAACCUGCGGUUGGAUCACCUCCUUA
RNAcentral lists this ribosomal RNA (484 nucleotides) under Yersinia enterocolitica. Its description in RNAcentral is "bacterial SSU rRNA". It matches the Rfam family "Bacterial small subunit ribosomal RNA", at positions 1050 to 1533 of the family's 1533-position model. The record is from RNAcentral. Lineage: Bacteria; Pseudomonadati; Pseudomonadota; Gammaproteobacteria; Enterobacterales; Yersiniaceae.